RNAcentral lists this ribosomal RNA (491 nucleotides) under uncultured bacterium. RNAcentral's name for it is "bacterial SSU rRNA". It matches the Rfam family "Bacterial small subunit ribosomal RNA", at positions 903 to 1397 of the family's 1533-position model. The record is from RNAcentral.
AAAGGAAUAGACGGGGGCCCGCACAAGCGGUGGAGCAUGUGGUUUAAUUCGAAGCAACGCGAAGAACCUUACCAGGCCUUGACAUCCCCUGACCGUCAUGGAAACAUGGCUUCUCUUCGGAGCAGGGAGACAGGUGGUGCAUGGUCGUCGUCAGCUCGUGUCGUGAGAUGUUGGGUUAAGUCCCGCAACGAGCGCAACCCUUGCCUUUAGUUGCCAUCAUUAAGUUGGGCACUCUAGAGGGACUGCCGGUGACAAACCGGAGGAAGGUGGGGAUGACGUCAGAUCAUCAUGCCCCUUAUGGUCUGGGCUACACACGUGCUACAAUGGUCUGUACAGAGGGCAGCGAAACCGUGAGGUGGAGCGAAUCCCAGAAAGCAGAUCUCAGUUCGGAUUGCAGGCUGCAACUCGCCUGCAUGAAGUCGGAAUCGCUAGUAAUCGCAGGUCAGCAUACUGCGGUGAAUACGUUCCCGGGCCUUGUACACACCGCCCGU